GGCCCAUUCGUCUAGUGGUUAGGACAAAAGACAUUUUGGGUAGAGAGUUAAAGACUUUUAAUCUUUGAACGUGGGUUCGAUUCCCACAUGGGCUACAA
RNAcentral lists this transfer RNA (98 nucleotides) under Adhaeribacter pallidiroseus. RNAcentral describes it as "Adhaeribacter sp. HMF7616 tRNA-OTHER". It matches the Rfam family "tRNA". Rfam says of the family: Transfer RNA (tRNA) molecules are approximately 80 nucleotides in length. Their secondary structure includes four short double-helical elements and three loops (D, anti-codon, and T loops). Lineage: Bacteria; Pseudomonadati; Bacteroidota; Cytophagia; Cytophagales; Hymenobacteraceae. The record is from RNAcentral.